UUUAUGAUGAUUUUUCGUGGCAUUGCUUUAUUAUUUUAUUUUACUUUAUGUUUUUUUUUCCUCAUUUCAACAUGCGUGAUCUGAUUAUUUUUUAAUUUUAAUUUUUAUUUACUUAUCUGUUUAUUUAUUUAUUUCAGUAGUUGGACCUUUAUGUCUGCUUAAUCCAAGCAAAGGAAUACAUUUCCAAGCACCAGAAAAAUCAUAGACCUGUGGACUUAUCAGAGAUGCUAGAAUCCAAAGAGCAGAACUUGGUCAACAUUCCCGUGUUCUCUGGAGAUGAAGGAUGGGCUGACUCUCCUUUCCUUCUUUAUUAGCUCAAGAAUGACAUUCCCGGAAAAAAAAAAAUCAGUUCUGAAGAAUGUAGAAGAUGGAUUCCAAAUCAAGCCUACACUUCUCCACCUUCUCAGUAUGAAUCUCUCCCACCCAAAGCAAACCCAGGGGAGCAGCUUCUGAUUCCUCUUUCAGGUGCACAAAGGCAGCCUCUCCCUAAAAUACCACAUUCUAACGUACUAUCUUCACUUGUUGUUAAUAAACCUGCUCCAUCCAGGUGUACUUUUAAAUACUGACAUGCACUUAAGAGGCACACUACAUUGAAGCUAUGGUAAAACUCUACCCAAGUACAAGCUAAAAAUAGUUCAUCUCUCUUUCUUCCAUAUAAAACAUGGAAAACUGAGUUAAUCUGAGUAGAACAUGCUCAGUGAGAAUAAAAGUGUGUUACACGUUACCCAAUGCAUUUGCAUUACGUGCAAAUAUGCAGUGUGUAUAUUUAUUACAUAGUAAUGUGCAUACAUACGCAAGUGCAUAGUUAUUACAUAGUAAGUUUCUCCAAUCCAAGCCACCAAUUCAAAAUAAGAAAAUCCAGCAAAGUUUUAGCCUACUCAAAGAUGUUAAAGAAACAGAGGGAUCUGAAUACAUCCCAAGAAAGACAGAAAGAAUUAACAAGGUCCCACAUGAAGACAAGUAGAUAUACAUAUCUGGGAGGUAAAUGGUGAAAAGAUGGAUAUAAUAUUCAUCAUUAAUUAUUAUAUUCUUGUUCUGAAUGCUCCAUGGCAGUAAUAGGAAUAUUUUACAAGGAUUAAGGAGGAUCUUUAGCCUGGAAGUAUUAAAUAAUUGUGGAGUGACCUAGCAUUUAUCCUUUGUCUUAGAAUAGCAUCUAGGAGCAAUGAUUAAGUGCUAACUGGAAUAAAUACAGCUAGCUCUUUUCAACCUCAAGAUUUGCCACAUAGGGGGAAAAAAAAAGAGAAAAAAUGGCUGGAUGAAAAUAUGAAGUAAGCCUUUUUACAGGACUUGUAGUAAUUAUAUCUUCGGUAUUUUUCUUCUUUGACCAUCUUUUAUGCACACUGGAAACAAGGAUCUCAUCUCAUGUCCUUCAGAAGAACGUGUUUUCAAAAUGUGAAGAAUCCAGCCAUCCCAUAAUUCUGUCCCUCUGUUACCUGUCGAUUCAAGCUCUGUAUGGUUAAUGUAACUUGAAGGAGGAAGGCAGGUCUUAGGGCUGGAAUACAAAUUUGAGUAUUAAGAAAGAUACUUCAGAUUUACUUUUAACAUGAUGGGAAUUCAUUUUCUGAUUUGUGCUAAAUAUCACCUGGCUUUAGGUCUCAUAAUUUAUCUCACGUAUCAUGUCUAGGGUGUAGCAAAUGACCCAUCUAUGACCGUGGAAACAUUUGGAAAGAAAAAUGAGUGGAGAUUUUGUUCUAUCGAGACAGCACUGAAGCACACCCGUUCCUAUCAAUAGGAUCUAUUUCUAGACCAUUAAAAUCAAAUCCAUCCCAUCUAAAAUGUAGAAUUUUGGCCCCUCAUAGAGGUGGAGUUUGGUAGAUAUGGACAUUUAUGCUACGGAUCCAGUAGUUUCAGCUCUUAAGUUUUCAUCAGUGAGUUACUAUGUCACAACCUCUGAAUGACCAAAUGGGAAUUGUGAAAAGGUGCCUAACAUUUCAGAAUGCAACUGGUCUGCAGCUGGCAGGCAUUUCCUCAGUUCAGACAAAAAAUAAAGUCACUAAAAAUCAACAGCUGAAUGAAUAUUCAAAGGCAUUUUGAAGAUGGAGGUGUAGGAAAUAAAAAUAACCAAUUUUUGAAUUAAUCUAAAAAAAAAUGGAAUGUAAAUAGUUUAUUUCACUGGACUUGCAUUUUCUUGGUUUCAGUGUCUAUUGACUAUGAGGAAAAAUGUGUAGAAGACUUAAAUAGUACUUCAUAGCUUUAUUCUCAGGCUGUCAAAUGUAUUCCUUGGGAUUGGGAUUUUUCAAGGGGUUUCAAUUCAUUCAAUUGAUUAUAAAAGCCAAAUAUAUAUAUAUAUAUAUAUAUAUAUAUAUAUAUAUAUAUAUAUAUUCAUUUUGGUGGUGGAGGAUGGUGGUGUAAACCCCUAAGGAACUUCAGGAUAUCGAAGAAUCUGUCCUAGCUCUCUGAGAACAAAUGAAGUGUAUAUAUAAGUUUGAACCUGCGAUCCAGUACGUAAUUACCUUACAGAAUAUUUCCCAGUUGUUAAUCCAAAGUUUACAUGCUGUGAAUUAAGCCAUUUUCCUUUUUUUUUUUUUUUCCCAACGGAUGGUGCACUUGAAGACUCUUUGAUCACAGUCUGUCAAUAGUGAUACAGUUUAAUAGAUCCUUUGCCACUGUUCCAAUUUUAAACACAUUCUCUCUUAAAAUAUCUCUAUAUCCAUGUUUUGUACAACCUUGUGGUCUCUCCCCACUUUUCUUAAAACCUGGACUGAUUGGGUACAGUGACAGUGUUCACUUUUGGACUCAUCAAUGCCAAACAGAAAAUGCAUUCACGUAUGUCUUUUCAAAUCACAUCUCAGGGUGAAAUCUCUUUUCUAUUUUUUUCAGCACCACAUUCCCAAGACUCUGUGUGGUGAACCUGUGUCGCUCAUCCUCUUCCUCAGUGCUGUUGUAAUUCUCUGUUUAUUUUUUUCACAUUUUAUUAUGAUCUUUCUUUCCUAAUAAUUAAAGCCACUUGCCACUUAUCUUUAUUUGGCUUUAUCUUGCUGGUCUGUCUCUCUGUUUUGAAGUGACCAUUUAGUAUUCAGCACUUAAGCACCAAAUGUUAAGCACCAAACCUCUGCUUUUGCUGCAGUCCAUUUUUGUACCCACUGUGUUCCAUCCUCUGAAUCACAGACAGAAGUGCUCAAUUUGCCGUGAAUGAUAUUCUCCAAUAAAAAGUUAUUUGAUGUGGCCAUCCAUUUUUCCCAGUGAGCUAUAGCAAAAUAUCCUCUGGAUAUAUUUUUGUAUACUGGUUUUAUUGUAAUUUAAUUAAUACUAUCUUUUCUUGUUAUCCCAUGAGAAUGCAGUGUGGGUUGGCAACUAAAAGCUUUAAAAUCAACAUAUACUACUUCUCUGCCUUUUGCAAUGUGCUAUGCUUGUAGAAGGAAAUAGGUUUUGUCUGACAAUUUGUUCCUGGCACAUGAAGUGUUUCUUAUUGCUAUAAUUUUAUGAUCUUCUUUUGAAUUAAUAAACAGCAUGUUUUGGCAUGUUGAAAUAAGUAUGAGUGGUGUCCCUUUUCCUGCAUCUCUUUUUACAAAAGGAAACAGUAUAGUACCUUUGAAUCCAUUCUGAAGUGUGUAUGCAUAUUAGCUAAUGAGCAGAUACAUGGAAGAAUUUUUAGCAAUGGGUAAAUAUCCUUGUCAACAUCAGAAUAAUUGGCUGUAAUCUUAUCACAUAUUUUAUUCCAAUAAAUCAUAUUACUGCUCUGUUCAUUGCUGUUAGUUGGAAUAACCUUUUAGAUAUUUGCAGCUACAUGAUCAUUUACGGUCUGGAUUUUGCUGAUGACUCAUAUCCAGCAGAAUCACAGUAGUACAGAGCUCUGCAGAAUACUUCUGAUGCAAGAAACUGAGUUGUAUAAGCAGAAGAAACAAAACCUCCAUCAUUUAAAGGCGAGAAAACUAGGCCAGCACCAGUGAAAGACAGUUAAGUCAUCCACAAUGAGUAAUUCUGACAUUAAAGAGAAGAUAAUGUGGUUAUUUAGAAUAUUUUCAGCCUGGUCCAUAAAAGUAAAAUCUUGAUGAUCACUGUGAGAUGCUCUUUGGAAGUGCAAUUGGGUGGGUCUUCAUAACUAAGGAGUGCAAGGAGUAAUCAGAAAAGACUAAUUCUACUACAUUUGAAUAUUGCGUCACUGCCUCGUAAACCAACUGUAAUACAGGUGAUUUAUAUAAUAUCUGUAAAAGAAAAGUGUAAAGAACUGGGUGUAGUUUUGUCACAAGCAUAAAGGAGUACAUAUGAAGAAAGAGGCUUCUAAUGUAACAUUAAGAAAAAGUGUUUCUAAUAUCCCUUCUCAUGCAUGUAUAACUACUCAUCUACUCUCCACCACCAAGCCAUUAGAGUAGGUGUGCGUUAAAAAAAAGAUGAACUCCGUUCGGAGGAGGAGGGAAAUGUGCAAUCGUCAUAUAUCUUCAGAACCCAUACGUGUUAGGGCACUCUGUGUGCUGAAACAUAAUUGCCAGUUGGUUUCUUAUUAGCUAAACUGAGGGAAAAAAUGGAAAAAAAACUAAAGCUGAUAUUUAAUAUGAUACGGAAUGUAUUUCAGAAUUGUGCUACAAGGUCAAGAAAAAUCUGUCUGCUAUGCAUGUGAUCUGAUUAUCUGAAGGUCAUCUAAUUACAUAUUCUAGAAACACUCUGGAAUUUAUCAGGACUUAUUUGAUAAAAUAAUGGUAGCAAAAUCCUCCCCUUUAUUCCUCUGUGCU
This is a long non-coding RNA of Gallus gallus (chicken), 4670 nucleotides long. NCBI's taxonomy places the organism in Eukaryota, Metazoa, Chordata, Aves, Galliformes, Phasianidae. The record is from Ensembl.